CACCGCCCGUCACACCAUGGGAGUUGGCUCUACCCGAAGACGGUGUGCUAAACCUCGCAAGAGGAGGCAGCCGGCCACGGUCGGGUCAGCGACUGGGGGUG
Molecule: ribosomal RNA, 101 nt
Filed under: uncultured bacterium
Lineage: Bacteria
Description: partial 16S ribosomal RNA
Source: RNAcentral